This 301-nucleotide ribosomal RNA is filed under the name uncultured bacterium. RNAcentral describes it as "partial 16S ribosomal RNA". It matches the Rfam family "Bacterial small subunit ribosomal RNA", at positions 509 to 809 of the family's 1533-position model. The record is from RNAcentral.
CAGUCGCCGCGGGAAUACAGAGGGUGCGAGCGUUAAUCGGAUUUACUGGGCGUAAAGCGUGCGUAGGCGGCUUUUUAAGUCGGAUGUGAAAUCCCUGAGCUUAACUUAGGAAUUGCAUUCGAUACUGGGAAGCUAGAGUAUGGGAGAGGAUGGUAGAAUUCCAGGUGUAGCGGUGAAAUGCGUAGAGAUCUGGAGGAAUACCGAUGGCGAAGGCAGCCAUCUGGCCUAAUACUGACGCUGAGGUACGAAAGCAUGGGGAGCAAACAGGAUUAGAGACCCGAGUAGUCCCUGUCUAUUAUAU